Molecule: ribosomal RNA, 119 nt
Filed under: Anolis carolinensis (green anole)
Lineage: Eukaryota; Metazoa; Chordata; Lepidosauria; Squamata; Anolidae
Source: RNAcentral
UGUGAGGGCUUGAAUAUUCUAAAGGCACCAGAUCCCAUCUGGUCUUGGAAGUUAAGCAAGGUAAUCUCUGACUAGUACUUGGAUGGAAGACCAUCAACUAACACCAGGAGCUGUUGAUG